AUACGGAGGAUGCGAGCGUUAUCCGGAUUUAUUGGGUUUAAAGGGUGCGCAGGCGGGAGAUUAAGUCAGCGGUGAAAGGCUCGGGCUCAACCGGAGCAGUGCCGUUGAUACUGGGUGUCUUGAAUGCGGUCAAGGCCGGCGGAAUGUGGCGUGGAGCGGUUAAAUGCAUAGAUAUGCCACAGAACACCGAUAGCGAAGGCAGCUGGCCGGGCCUGCAUUGACGCUCAGGCACGAAAGCGUGGGGAUCGAACAGGAUUAGAUACCCUGGUAGUCCACGCUGUAAACGAUGGACACUCGUUGUCGGCGACAGACAGUCGGCGGCCAAGCGAAAGUGAUAAGUGUCCCACCUGGGGAGUACGGUCGCAAGGCUGAAACUCAAAUGAAUUGGCGGGG
This 393-nucleotide ribosomal RNA is filed under the name uncultured bacterium. Its description in RNAcentral is "partial 16S ribosomal RNA". It matches the Rfam family "Bacterial small subunit ribosomal RNA", at positions 523 to 918 of the family's 1533-position model. The record is from RNAcentral.